RNAcentral lists this long non-coding RNA (2501 nucleotides) under Malus domestica (apple). RNAcentral's name for it is "long non-coding RNA (MDOM_LNC005128)". The record is from RNAcentral. Lineage: Eukaryota; Viridiplantae; Streptophyta; Magnoliopsida; Rosales; Rosaceae.
CGAAAGGCAAUGACAAUGUAAGAUAACUAUUCAUUCAAUCUUAAUAGAUGUGUCUUAAUAAUUUGUACAAAAAUAUUCAUACAACGUAUGAAUUUACAAAUAUAUAAUUAAUAGAGACAAAAAAAUAAGAAAUCAUAGUUACCCACCGAUGUUGGUCCUAUGUCAUCUUGGUUUACUUCCGUUUGAUUUUGUACUAUAUUUACUGAGUUCAAUCGUGUUUGAUAAUUGGCAUGUCGUCGCAUUAAAAUUUGAGCCCGCUGUGAUGAAUUCAUAGAUUGUCGUCUUUGCCUUUGUUGAUUGCUCCUAUGAUAACUUUGAUUUGACUGUUGAGAAUUUUGAACAUUUGUUUGUCCGAAGUGAAUUUCUUCAUUGUCGACCGACAUUGAGAAAUUGCCAAAAAGAAUGAAUUUUAUUUUAUUUUUGAAAAAGAAGAAAAAAUAGAUCAUCUCUACAGAAGAGGAAUAAUACAGAUAAGGUAAGAACCUCUGACAUAUUGCGUCUAUCAAUUCCCUCCAUAGUUGAUAUGUUGAAGUCCUCUGGAAAUCUUAAAACUGAAAUUUCAAUUUGGAUGAUUCUUAAUAAAGGUAAAAUUGAAGGAAAAUAUGGAAACAUAGCAUUGAAAUUCAACAAUGGAAAAUGAUGCUUACACAAAUUAGAUCAUAGUUAAAAGAUUCAUGAAAUGUACACUAUCGAAUUGACAGAACACAUGGGGAUUUCGAAAAGGAAAAAACAGAAUAACACAAACUAAUAGGACGGAGCCGAACAUAUACCACCAUAACCAAAAUUAAGACAGUAGGCAUUAACCCAUUUGCAGAUCCGAUUGAGCUAAUUUUCCUGAGCUUCAACCACGGACCCAUUCAUGAAUCCCUAAAUUUACCCAAUCUUAACAACUUGAAGAAUUUAGUACAAAAAUUUAACCGAGCAGUAAACUUCGAAAGCAAAAAGAGUUACGAAAACAAAUAGAAAACAGAAUGGUUAACAUACAACAAAAUUUGUUGCCUCUAGAUUUGCAAGGAAGCAAAAUCUUCAGCUGAUGCAAAACCUAUGUCGUUUGGUUAAUCACAAACGUUUCUUUUAUUAGCAAUCAUCACAAACGCCGACAGAAAAAGACAACUAAAGGACAUAUUUCUCACCGCAACAUAUAAAUUGAGAAACAAAAUGGAACAAAUAUAAGUUAGAAAGAGUACAAAGCAAGAAAUAAUGAAGAGAAAUACAUGGAAGGCACUGGAAGAGCAGAAGAAGUAGGAUUGCAGUGGCACCACCCACCCUCUCUCGCUCGCCGAUUCCUAUUCGGUUUAGUGUGCUCUAAUAAGCCCAGAAAUCUCAACACUCAGACAGAGACAAAUUGUAGAAACAUAUAAGAAAGCAAAUAUAGGAUCCCCAACAUCUUACAUGGAACUUGGUAGUAUCAAUGGGUGGACUUCUUCUUAUCUGCAUAAUUUUCGUAAAAAAAUAAUCAAAUUACUUAAACUGAAACGAUAAAGAACAACUUUGAAACCAAAACGUACGGAUGAUUUCUUGCCGCUAGAUUUCCAAGGAAGCAAAAUCUUCAAACUGUCCUGGAUAUAUAAAAAAAAUAAAAAGAAGAAGAAGUGGAGUGGUUGUGUGCAGAGAGACGAAGAGGGUUAAAACUGAUCCCAAUCAGAACAACCUGUAUGGGAAAAGAAGCAAACAGAGUUUCACCUUUCCCUCGCUAAAAUGCUUCCUCUCUUUUCUCCUUCUCCUUCUCUCCAACCCAAAACUGUAAAACACUUCCAGUAAAAUCAAAUUAAAGAAUCAAACCCAGGAACAAAAUCACAAAAAAAAUGAGAGAAAUUCGAAAGGGUAAUGGAACCCUAGUUUUUUAAAUUGGGAAGUUGGGUACCUGGAGAAGAUGGAAAUGAAGGCGACGGUUUAAGUCACAAAUAGCUUAAUCGAAGCAAGAUCCAGAUGAACAACAAAUGGGUAACUGAGAUAGAGCGAGAGGAAGAUCGGAGCUUACAUGAAAGUUGCUGGUGCGGUUGGAUGCUGCUCCCUUUUCAGAGCUUCGACUCUGGCAAUUGAAAUCAAAUACAAAUUAUCAUCUCUUUGGGUUAUUUCUCCUAUUAAUACAAUAAAUACAAAAGCCUGUACUGAUGAAACAAAUAAAAAUAAAUAAAAAAAUUGAAAAACCAAAAAGUGUAUACCUCGGGAUUAAAUCGGUGGUGGUUUGGAGAGGAUAGAUAGUUAGAUGGGAGGAGCUAGUGACAGGAGGUUCGGCUGGCGGUGGCCGCGGAGGAGGGAGAAAGAGAGGUGGCUGCGGAGGAGGGAGAGAGAGAGAGUUAGUGAGAGACGGAUCCAGAUUCCAGAAAACAGGAUCCCGUAGUGGGUUUUAAUUCUAUCGGCAUGGCAAGAUAAUGGGGUUUCAGUUCGCAAGAUAAUGGGUUUCAGUUUUUGCACGGAAGUUUUUUCCUUUUUUAUUUUUCGUGUUUUUUUCCCUUUUUUUUCGAAAACUGCCGAACGUGGUUGAAGUUGUGUCUUCC